GGAAUUUAAAGUCAAAUGAAAUUACCAGUAACUAGAAGAAUAUAUAAAAAUUUAUGAACUAGACUAAGUUAAAGAACCACAUUCACAUCUCUAAAUUAUAAGAAAACAACAAUUAAUGGAGAAAAAUACUUAAUAAACUCAUUUAGAAUUGGCUAGAAUAAGUGAACAUGAUAAUGAAAAUUGUCACUGUUAUUGACAUAACCAUCACCCUUAUUUUAACUAAAC
Molecule: unclassified non-coding RNA, 225 nt
Filed under: Hevea brasiliensis (rubber tree)
Lineage: Eukaryota; Viridiplantae; Streptophyta; Magnoliopsida; Malpighiales; Euphorbiaceae
Source: RNAcentral